This 277-nucleotide unclassified non-coding RNA is filed under the name uncultured bacterium. Its description in RNAcentral is "contains 16S-23S intergenic spacer region". The record is from RNAcentral.
GCAGUCGGCGGCGCAGCCGGGGCGGUCUUCGCCGUAUGCGCAUAGAUUGUCGCCGCAACAGAUCGCCGCGGGGGUCAGACCCUCGCACGCGAACUCCACGCAAUAGUCGCCAAACGAGCACAUCUCUCCAUCGUCGCAAAAGACGCCGAAGAAGAUCGUCCAGGUGUGCACGACGCCCUCGUCGCCGCCACCAGCCAUGUCGUUUACGGCGAGCGUCCAGGUUCCGACUUGCGACUCGCCCGCGAAUGCUGAGAAAGGCGUAGCCGGUGCGUACGCG